RNAcentral lists this ribosomal RNA (391 nucleotides) under uncultured bacterium. RNAcentral's name for it is "bacterial SSU rRNA". It matches the Rfam family "Bacterial small subunit ribosomal RNA", at positions 28 to 417 of the family's 1533-position model. The record is from RNAcentral.
GACGAACGCUGGCGGCGUGCUUAACACAUGCAAGUCGAGCGGUAAGGCCCUUUCGGGGGUACGACGAGCGGCGAACGGGUGAGUAACACGUGGGCGACCUGCCCUCAGCUCUGGGAUAAGCCUGGGAAACUAGGGUCUAAUACCGGAUAUGACUCCAUGACGCAUGUUGUGGGGUGGAAAGCCUUGUGCGGCUGAGGAUGGGCCCGCGGCCUAUCAGCUUGUUGGUGGGGUGAUGGCCUACCAAGGCGACGACGGGUAGCCGGCCUGAGAGGGCGACCGGCCACACUGGGACUGAGACACGGCCCAGACUCCUACGGGAGGGCAGCAGUGGGGAAUCUUGCGCAAUGGGCGAAAGCCUGACGCAGCGACGCCGCGUGAGGGAUGACGGCCU